GUAGGUGAACCUGCGGAAGGAUCAUUAACACGUAUCCACGUAUCAACCUCGUGAACCUGUAGUCGCAAGGCUACAAAAGCGGAUAAUUGUGCUUUAGCGGAGAGUACCUGGUUCUGGUGGCAUCAGACUUUCGCGCGCGGUUUUCUCCUUCUGGGCUAACCCAAAGCACUCUUAUGCGUCACCUAUUUUUUUUACCACUAACCAAAAUUUUUUCUGUGAUCAUUGUACUGAUAUACCAGGUUGUGUCGCG
This 250-nucleotide unclassified non-coding RNA is filed under the name plant metagenome. RNAcentral describes it as "partial contains small subunit ribosomal RNA, internal transcribed spacer 1, and 5.8S ribosomal RNA". The record is from RNAcentral.